Molecule: ribosomal RNA, 691 nt
Filed under: Phaseolus vulgaris (common bean)
Lineage: Eukaryota; Viridiplantae; Streptophyta; Magnoliopsida; Fabales; Fabaceae
Description: eukaryotic LSU rRNA
Rfam family: 5.8S ribosomal RNA (bases 277-432)
Source: RNAcentral
UCAUUGUCGAUGCCUCAAACAAUUCCACCCGCGAAUACGUACCAAACACACAACAACGCGCAAGGCCAGCGGGGGCACGCAAGUUCUCCCACGACCAAGUGCGUUGUCGAGAGCGGGGGUGGGCGUCUUGAUGCCUUGUGCAUCCGGUCGCAAACCCGUGUCUCCCGACAAAAACUAACCCCGGCGUUUUACGCGCCAAGGAAAACGAAGCUGUUAGGUGAGGCAAACGGGGGACGUGUCCCGCGGGCGCCUUCACGACGACAUGUUAUGUAAAAUGACUCUCGGCAACGGAUAUCUCGGCUCUUGCAUCGAUGAAGAACGUAGCGAAAUGCGAUACUUGGUGUGAAUUGCAGAAUCCCGUGAACCAUCGAGUCUUUGAACGCAAGUUGCGCCCAAAGCCAUUAGGCUGAGGGCACGCCUGCCUGGGUGUCACACAUCGUCACCCCUUCCUCCACACUUAACCAGUUAAAUGUGAGGCAGUGGGUGAAAGUUGACCUCCCGCGAGCCAGUUCCUCGUGGUUGGUUGAAAAGCAAGUUCGGGGCGGAGUCCCCCACGAUAACGGUGGAUGAGCCCACGCUCGAGACCAAUCGUGCCUGUGGGACUCCGACGUAACGGACUUAUCGACCCCACACGCGCCCUCUGUGCAAACCGAGUGUGCCAUCUACGAGACCUCAGGUCAGGCGGGGCUAC